This is a long non-coding RNA of Papilio polytes (common Mormon), 854 nucleotides long. RefSeq lists it as uncharacterized. The transcript is spliced from 3 exons. Lineage: Eukaryota; Metazoa; Arthropoda; Insecta; Lepidoptera; Papilionidae. The record is from RefSeq and is a predicted model, not a curated record.
ACAAAAAAUCGAAUAGUAUGCGCACCUCCAUAUAAGCUCUCUGAGAAAUGACUUCUUGUUGCAGGGGGUAAAGGUGUAUUUUGAAAAGGCACACGUCGUUAGUGUUAAUCCAAAAUACCUUUCUUAUGCAUUUUUAAAUGUCACUCGUUACGAAAGAAGAGGCAACUACUACAUAAAUUUUGUAUUUGCUAACAAAGUAACCGUCGCGAAUAAUAUCACGGUGACAAUCAAAGUCUUUGAAUAUCGCUGGAAUAAUUACUACCACUCUAUUCUUGAAUUUCGCCACCAGUUCUGCGACUUCAUCGAGAAAGAUGUCUACUUCGGAGCGGGAAUCGGCGAAACCGGUUUAAAUUGCCCAGUAAUACCUGGAAAACAUCAUGUAAUGAAUUUGAGUGCCCACUUUGAAAGCUUCCCCAACGCUUUGCUUUUUGAUAAGGCACGAGUUAACGUUGUGUUCAAUUUGGUUCGUAAUGGCGACUUGGUUGCCGAGGGAGCUGUUUAUAUUGAAGUGAAAAAUGAAAUGAAAAACAAGAAACGCACUUAAAAUGGCAGUAUAUAUUCUUUUUCUAUUUAUGUACGAGUAUGUUUGAUAUUAAAUAUUUAAUUUUUGAGAGUUGUUGUUCAUUGUUGUAGAAAAUUGUGUGCUUUUUGACUUUGCUUCCUCUGAGUUCGUUCGGAAACGUAGUGUUAAUCAACUCUAUGCGCUGAUCACAGAUUGAGACAACUUGAAACUUUGUCACACCGGCAACCUUUCAUAUCGACAAUAGUCUGGCAUUGCAAGUGUGUUAAGAAUGAAUGUGGAUGGCUACAAAGGAAGAGGAAGACCGAAGAAAGUAUGGAUGGAUUGUGUGAAA